This 74-nucleotide transfer RNA is filed under the name Micromonospora pattaloongensis. It matches the Rfam family "tRNA". From Rfam's summary of the family: Transfer RNA (tRNA) molecules are approximately 80 nucleotides in length. The record is from Rfam by way of RNAcentral. Lineage: Bacteria; Bacillati; Actinomycetota; Actinomycetes; Micromonosporales; Micromonosporaceae.
GCCCCUGUAGCUCAGUUGGCCAGAGCGCUCGCCUUGUAAGCGAGGGGUCGCCGGUUCGAGCCCGGCCGGGGGCU